This 10578-nucleotide long non-coding RNA is filed under the name Carica papaya (papaya). Its description in RNAcentral is "long non-coding RNA (CPAP_LNC012028)". The record is from RNAcentral. Lineage: Eukaryota; Viridiplantae; Streptophyta; Magnoliopsida; Brassicales; Caricaceae.
UAGUCAAAGAUCAUUAUUUAGGCAACAGAUGCAUAUAGCAAAAAUUGGAGAUACCAUAUACCUUCACCCUAAAUAUAUCAUGAAUAUCAUAACCAAAAGAUAAUUUUGUUACGAACAUUAGACUUAAGGGAUAUAUACAGACAUAAUAACAUAGGGCAAACUAUGGUUAAAUUUGCUAACUUGGUGAUUUGGGUUAAAACUAGAGAUUCUCAGAUAUUAGUUAUCAGUUGAUGGAUAAAAAUAAAUAGCAAAUUAAUUUGAAGUUCCUUGGAUUCCUUUUUUGUGAGAAAAUAAUCAAGGGAAGGGGGAGAAACACAGAUAAAGCUGAAAGUCUAAAAAAUGUUGAACAAGAGCCUUCAGGCCACCUUUUAAAGCAAAAAGGGAUGCCAAUGAACUCAACCUUCUUGAACCACAUAAUACACACAUCACGCAGGGAACAUAGUUUGGCCUGCGUUCUUGCAACAGAUCAAAAGUGUUGAUGCUACUAAGAAUAACAGUCCAAACAAAAACCUUUAUCUUACAAGCAACUUUAGCCUUCCAAAACAUAGUAGUGAAAGUCUCAUCCUAAGAACUAAAAAUAUGGAUAAGAUGAAUAAAAAGAGACUUGCAGGUCUAUACACUCAGAGGAAUCUAAUGUUGGAAUUUUGCUAUUGGAAUGCGGAAAACAAUAAAGGGCUCAAGGAUGAGUAAAAAAACGAUGCAUGCCAUCUGACUCUUGGUCAUUUAAAUUCCUAAGGAAAAGAAAUUCCAAGAUAUGUAACCACUAAGAUUAAUUUAGUGAUAAAUAGGAGCAUUACGAUGAGAUGAUACAGAAAGGUGUUUUCCCCGAUGUGCUUAAAUUAGGACAUUUAUUAUGCCCUUCAGCUGUAUGAUGAAAUGGUGAGAAGGGGAUGUGAUCCGGAUAUAGUAACAUAUACUGAAUUAAUCAGAGGCCAUUGUGGGCAAGGUAACACAAAGGAGUUCAGAAGAGCUUCUUGUAGAGAUACAGAAAUCUGGUUUAGUGGUUGAGUUCCAUUUCAGAUACUUAUUACAAAGUACUGCACAAUGAGGGAGCCCCACCUUGCAUUUUACCUAUACCAAAGGUGCGUGAUCGGUGAUAAAUGAGUUUGUGAUUCAGUAACUUCAAAAUUAUUCAUAGGCACUGCAGAACUGCGAAGUUUGUUGCAAGCCAUUAAGUUCUUGUAUAUUGUGAUGGGGUCAGUUUUCUGCCUAUGGUGUCCAUAGACUGUGAUUCUUGUUGGUUAUGUAUCCAGCCCAAACAAAAACAAAAAAAAAGGGGCAAAUUAGUAGUUAAAAAAAAAAAAAGAAAAGAAAAAAAAGAAAAAGAAAAACAAAGAGAGUUAGAGAGUGUAAAAGAUUGAAAAAUAUCCCUGCUAGAGUUUUCGAAGAAAAUGAAUGGUCAAGAUCGAAAAUGAAUAUUGGGUGGUUGUAUCUGUUAGGAUUUUUUUUCUCUCUCGAUUAGUAUAUAAAUGCAUGUCUAUGCACCAUAAAUGAAGGAACAGAAGAAAUAUUUAAAAACUCUUUUAUUACCUUUCUCACUUUUUACCGAGAGAAAUAGAGAAGAGUGUACCGCAAGAGGAAAGGAAGAAGAGAACUUAUAUAUAUAUAUAUAUAUAUAUAUACACAUAUACAUCUACAAGUUGAGUAGCUACCAAGAGAAGAAAAAAAAAAUGAUUUUCAUUCUCUCUACUUUUGUUUGCCUCUUUCUUCUAGUUCUACACACAAAAAAAGGUUGUUUUUUGAAUUUAACUCUUAGUGGAUUAUCUCGUACUUAAUUUUAUUAAUAAUGUAUUUGAUUGAAUAUUGACCCGUGGUUUUUUCCUUUACACUAAAACAUUUUCUACGUAAAUUAUGUAUCGAUUUAAUUUUUCAACUAUUAUCUGCUUAUUAUUUUUACUCCAUUGUGCAUCAAUUUGAGUUAGGGUUAUGCUUAUUAGUUCCUACUAAUUAAUUUGAAAUUAACUUAAUUUACACAGUUAAUUAUAUUCUUGUUCGGAACCCAACAAGUGGUAUCAGAGCCAGGUUGACUAGUUUGUUAAUUGAUUUGUGAUCUGAGAUUAAUUGUAUGAAAUAGAAUGAAAGAAUUUGCUGCUACUAUGAUAAAAUUGUCUUCUUCAAAUUAUUUAAUUUGGAAGUCAAAGAUGGAGGAUUUUCUUUAUUUUAGGGGUUUAUAUGAUCCGAGUAAAUUAAGAACUACUAAGCUAAUGGGAAAAUCACAUGAUGAUUCGGAGAAAAUACAUUGAAAGACUGUAGGAACUAUCUGAAAGUUGGUGAAUAAUAGUGUCUAUCAUUACAUAAAUAAAAAAGUAAUUGCACAGGUUUUAUGAAACAAAUUGAAAAAUAUGUAUGAGAUAAAAAAUGCUCGGAAUAAGACUUUUACUAUUAGAAAGCUUGUUAAUCUGAAGUUGAGAGAUGGACAAUCAUUGCAGAACACUUCAGUAAAUUUCAAUAGUUGGUAAAUGAGUUAAAUACAAUAAAAAUGGCUCUAGAUGAUGAAUUGCAGAAGUUAUUGCUCUUAAGCUCUUUGCUAGACAGUUGAAAAACCUUAGUAGUGUCUCUUAACAAUUCUGCUCCAUAUGGUAUUUUGUCUUUACUUGUGGUAAUAGAUAAUCUGCACAAUAAAGAGACUAAAAGAAAAGAUAUGGGUAUUGAGACUUUACAGGCACUUAUUACAAUAAUAGAGAAUAGGGAUAGAAGUAAAAGUAGAGGUCCUAAGGGGCGCUAUAGAUCCAUAUGUAAAUCAUAGGUGAACAGUAAGUUCACUUGUUAUCAUUGCGGCAAAGAGGGACAUAUAAAAAGAAAUUGUAGGAUUUGGAAAAAUGAACAAAAUCAGAAAAAGAUAGAUAAUCAGAACACUACUGCAACUGUAGCUGAUGAUAAUGAAAAACUGGUUGUACUUUCAUUUGUUGAAGAUUAUAGCCACGUCACUGAUUCUGAUACUGAGUGGAUUGUUGAUUCUGCAGCAUCCUAUCAUGCUACACCUAGAAGAGAUGUCUUCACUAUGUACAAAGUAGGAGAUUUUGGCAUAGUGAAAAUGAGUAAUACCAGCUAUGUAGACAUUAUAGGUAUUGGUGAUAUUUGUGUGUAGAUAGAUAUUGGUUGUGUGUAGACAGAUAUUGGUUGCACGUUGAAUCUAAAGAAUGUGUGGUAUGUACCAGAUUUACAUUUUAAUAUGAUCUCUACAAAUGCUCUUGAUUUAUAUUGUUAUUACAAUCUAUUUGGUGGUAGAAAAUGGAAACUCACUAAAGGUUCAAUUAUAAUUGUUAGAGGCAAAUUGUGUCAUACACUUUACAAGACUCAGAUGAAUAUUAUUAGAGGUGCACUGAAUGCAGCUGUAGAUGAUGUUUCACCAAACUUGUGGCAUAAGAGGCUGGCUCACAUGAGUGAGAAGGGGUUGCAGAUUUUGGCAAAGAAGUUCUUUAUUCCUUUUGCAAAAGGUAUGAGUUUAAACCUUUGUAAUUAUUGUGUGUAUGGUAAACAACAGAGAAUUUCUUUUACUAGCUCAUCUGAAAAGAAAAAGAAUGUUCUUGAAUUAGUUUACUCUGAUGUGUAUGGUCCUAUUGAUGUAGAAACCUCAGGAGGUAGCAGAUAUUUUCUUACUUUUAUUAAUGAUACUUCAUGAAAGAUUUGAGUGUUUGUGUUGAAAACAAAAGACCAGGUUUUUCAGUAUUUUAAGCAAUUUCAUGUCAUGGUGGAAAGAGAGAAAAAAACUCAUUUAAAGUAUUUUCGUAAUGACAAUGGUGGUGAAUACACUUCAAAGAAGUUUGAGAAUUAUUGCCUAUAGCAUAGAAUUAGAUAUGAGAAGACAAUGUCUGGUACUCCUCAGCAUAAUGGUGUAGCUGAAAGAACAAACAUGACUCUCCUUGAAAAGGUCAUAUGCAUGUUGAAAAUGGCUAAUUUACCAAAAUCAUUUUAGGGUGAAGCACUAUACAAUGUUUGCUACUUGAUGAAUCGAUCUCCAUGGUCUGGGAAAGAUGUCAAUUAUUCUCAUUUGAAGGUAUUUGGCUGCAAGACAUUUAUGCAUAUACCUAAGGAGCAGAGAUAAAUGCUUAUGAUAGAACAGUUUCAUGUAUUUUUUUAAGCUAUAGAGAUACAAAGUUUGGAUACAGAUUGUGGGAUCCAGUGAAGAAAAAGGUCGUCAGGUCUGGAGAUGUGAUUUUUGAUGAGCACAAGACCUUAUUAGAUUUUGAGACAACAUAAAAGAUUAUAAGUGAAGAUAUUCAUCUUCCUACACUAGUUUAUCCUUCGAUCAGAGAUGCCACAGACGAGAGAGAGUUACAUGAUGAUCAAAGGUUUGAUAAUAUCUCAGUACCAUAUGAUAUUGAGCAGGGGGAGCAGCCCCUUGCAUCCCAGGUUACAGAAGAACCUUAGCUUAGAAGAUCAACUAGAACAUAUUAUCUUUCUAUCAGAUACUCCAAUUUUGAGUAUAUUAUAGUUACUGAAGAGGGGGAACCAAAAAGCUUUCAAGAAGUUUAGAACCAUCAAGAAAAGUCUUAGUAGUUGAAAGCAAUGGAAGAAGAGACGAGCUCUUUGAAUCAGAAUAAUACCUACGAGUUAGUUGAACUUCCAAAAGGCAGAAAAGCUUUGAAAAACAAGUAGGUAUACAAGCUUAAUAUGGACAGUGAGAAGCUAAUGAAAUAUAAGGUUUGUUUGGUAGUAAAGGAUUUCAAUCAGAAGAAAGGAAUUGACUUUGAUGAGAUAUUUUCUCCUGUUGUGAAGAUGAGCUCAAUUUGGGUAAUUCUUGAUUUAAUUGUCAGUUUAGAUCUUGAGCUUGAAUAACUAGAUGUGAAGACAAUAUUCCUUCGUGGUGAUUUGGAGGAAGAAAUCUACAUGAACCAAACAGAAGGAUUUGAAGUCAAAGGGAAAGAACACAUGGUUUGCAUGUUGAAAAAGAAUUUAUAUGGAUUGAAACAGGCUCCGAGAUAGUGGUACAAGAAAUUUGAUUCUUUUAUGGUCAGUCAUAGUUACACCAGAAUAGAUGCAGAUCAUUGUAUGUGCUUCAGGACAUUCUCAUAUGGUAAGUUUGUCGUUCUGUUAUUUUAUGUUGACGAUAUGUUAAUAGUAGGACAAGAUAUUAUAGAGAUUAAUGGUUUAAAAAAGGAAUUGUUUGGCUUUUUUUAUAUGAAAGAUUUGGAACCAGCACAAUAGAUUUUGGGUAUACAGAUUACUCGUGACAAGAAAGUUAAAAAAUUAUGGUCGUCGCAAGAAAGGUAUGUUGAGCAGGUUCUAAACAGAUUUUAUAUGAAGAAUGCUAAGCCAAUUAGCACACCACUUAUUAAUCACUUUACACUUAGCAAGAAAUUAUGUCCUGUUACUCAAUAAGAAAAAGAAGAAAUGUCAGUUGUUACUGUAGCACUCGGAAAGGAGGAGAAAAAAAAAAAAAAAAGCCACGUCAGCAGUCCCGGCCAACCAGGGCCUGCCACGUGGCAAGACCACGUCACUUCGAAAGGUAGCCACGUUGGCGAUCCGCGUGGGUGAAAUCCGACGGCCCAGAUCAAUCGCGCGAUCGGACGGCCCAGAUACAAUCGCACGGACGGCCCAGAUUCAAUCAAAAACGAACGGCCCAGAUUAAAACAAAAUGGACGGCUGAGAUCAAAAGGCAAGGGGUUAUAAAUAGAACCUCCACACCAGACCACAAACCCUAGCCGCCUGCCGCUCGCCGGAGAAGACGAACCAGAGGCCGACCGCCGCCACCCGCCGCCGCACCGGGGAAAUUUCCGACCGCCGAUCGAGGUAAAUUUCAUACCCCCGACUCGUUUUUCCACGCUGAUUCCUCCUAUGGCCAAAUCGAAGCCAAAAUCUCGGCCAAACGGCCGGAAUACGCGGCCGAAGACCAGCGGUGCCGCCGCGCCCCCUAUCGGUUUUUGCCUCCGACGAGGCCCUUCCCGGCCUCCAUUGGAUGCAAUUUUUAUAUCACCGUGAUCACCAUUCUUUUCUCUACAGGUUGACCGGAGCCGAAUCACCAAAACACGAACCUCGCCGGAGAGCCGCCGCACCCGAGAGCGCCGCCGCUGGUAAGCUCCGUUUUUCCGUGAUUUUUUGGCCCCCCGAGGGCCCUAGGGUUGUUUUCUCACAAGGACCGAUGCGAGUGUGGCCGAAUUCGGCCGAAAACGGCCGAAAACAGCCAACCCGAGGCGACUCGCCGCCGCGCCGGAGCACGGCGGAACCGCCGUGCCGGAGUUGCGAUUUGGGCCGAAAGAGGCCCUGGGCCUAAUUUGGGUUUUUUUUGGAACACGUGCAGGUACUGUUAGUGUGUUUCAGUUCCCCGGAAAAAAUUCAGAGAAAAUUAGGGACGGCCUGCAGGCGCACUGUGAAUCGUAUUCGGAUCCCGAAAACAAGUAAGGACCCCUCACCCUAUUUCCUAUCACGGUAUUAAAGUUCAAAAUGAUAAAACGGUAUUUCUUGAAUUAACGAAUGUGUGAAAUUGUUUAAGGUGGCUAAUGGAGCCCGAGUCUAGUGUGAUUGGUGAUUUACUGUUAUUUGGCCUGUUUACAGCUUUAAAUGCAAAAUGAGGUUUGAUGUGUUUAUUUUACAGAUUUGUGUGCAUAUACUACGUUUUUAUUAAUCAUGGGUUGAAUGACUGAAAAACUGAUGUUGUAUGUUGUCUGUUUGGCAUGAAUUACGAUUUGCUUGUUUAAAUGUGAAUUGAUGAUGCUGACUGAGGAAAAGGAAAAUGAAAGAUUGUGUAGACUGAUAAUUGUAUUAUGGGGGUCAGCCUGACUAGAUAUCCUGGGAGAUGGUGGACGGACCGGGUCCGUAGGGAACCCUACCGGGAUUGUGGUCUCACAUGCCGGACGGGGUAUGGAGAUCUUAUGGUUUUGGCGCCCAUACCGGACGGGGUAUUGAGGUUUAUGGUUUUGGCGCCCAUACCGGACGGGGUAUGGGGACGGCCCGUUUCACCCUCAUACCGGACGGGGUAUGGGGACGGCCCGUUUCACCCUCAUACCGGACGGGGUAUUGAGGUUCAUGGUUUUGGCGCCCAUACCGGACGGGGUAUGGGGACGGCCCUGGAAACUGAUUAUGAAUGUUAAAGGUUAACGGGUAGCGGAACCCCUAUGGACCCCCACGGAUACUAGUAGGCUGGUAAAUGAGAAAAAGAUAUGUUGUACAAUGAUUGAAUUACAAGAGGCGUGAUAAGUGUUAUGUUUUACAGCUUAUAUUAUUCCAUGAUUAUGAUAAUGUUAUUGUUUUCUUAUAUUGUUUUCAUAAAUUCCACCGAGGUAAGUGGAUGGAAAAGGUUUUUAUGUUAAUAAGCGAGUUUGUUGUAAAUUAUGCUCCAUUGGUCUUUUUGUGUUUUCUACCCACCUUUACCUCCGUGACGGAGAGAUAUCGUGAUGUUUUUACUGGGUCAGUGUAGCUCACUCCUUACUUAACCAUUUCAGAUCAGGAAGAAAUGGUUCCCGAGCCCGUUCUGCAGGAGGACGACGAAGGGGAUACCUAGAGACUCUGUAGUCAUACUCAUAGUUUUAUUUUCGAGUUUCUCUCUUAGUUAGUUUAAUCUUUUAUAUUUUAAGUACGUUUUUGGUUUUUCGUGUAAGGGAUGUUAACUGAAAUUUUGAUCUCGCUUCCGCAAUUGAUAUAUUUAAAUACUCAUUUCAUUUUAAUAUUUCCGGGGCCGUUACAGUUACUUACUCUUCUGCAGUUGGGAGUUUGAUGUAUGCUAUGGUUUGCACUCGACCAAGUAUUGUUCAUGAUGUUGGUUUGACAAGCCGAUUUAUUUUUAAUCCUAGUAAGAGUUAUUGGAAAACAGUAAAAUAGAUUUUUAGAUAUCUGAAAUGUACUCCUAAGAUGUAUUUAUGUUUUGAAUGUUCAGAACCAAUUUUAGAGGGAUAUGCAAAUGCAGAUAUGGCAGGUGACCUUGAUAGCAGGAAGUCUACUUCAGGGUAUGUGUUUACUUUUGCAAGGAGAAUUGUAUCAUGGUAGUCUAAACUGUAAAAAUGUGUUAUCUUAUCUACAACUGAGGCAAAGUAUAUAGUUUUAACUGAAACAGGUAAAGAAAUGUUUUAGAUGAAAAGAUUUCUCGAAGAGUUGAGUUUGAAACAAGAUGAAUAUGUGAUGAAUAAUGAUAGUCAAAGUGCUCUAUAUUUGAGUAAUAAUGUCACAUAUCAUUGUCGUACGAAGGAUAUUGACGUGAGAUACUAUUGGAUACGAAAUGUAAUGAAUAAUAAAGAUAUGUUAUUGAAAAAUAUUUACACUGAUAAAAAUCGACAUGUUGACCAAGAUAGUGAAUUGUAACAAGUAUCCGUCUUGCACCAAUAAUGUGGGAUUGAUUGAAUAUUGAGCAAUGUAUGGUAUACAUCUCUUCAUAAGCUGGAGGAAGAGCUUGUUGGUUAUGUAUCCAGCCUAAACAAAAAAAUGGUAAAUCAGUAAUUCAAAAAAAAAAGAAAAGAAAAAAAGAAAAAGAAAAAAAAAAGAAUUAGGGUUGAAAUUUUCUUUUGGAUAUAAAUAUAUAUAUGUGUGCUGCAGGAAAAAAAAAAAAAAAAAAAAAGAGAGUUAGAGAGAAAGAGAGAAGAAUGUGCGGCAAGAGGAAAUGAAGAAGAUAACUUAUAUAUAUAUACACACACAUAUAUAUAAGUUGAGUGGCUACUAAGAGAAGAAAGAAAAAGUGAUUUUCAUUCUCUCUCCUUGAUGAUAUUAUCGCAGACAUCAGCAAUUUCUUCAUUUUCUAAUGGAAGUUUAAACUUGAUUCUGUUUCCCUCUUUUUUCUAGUUCUGCACCCAAAAAAUGUUGUUCUUUCUGUUUUGGAUUUAAUUUUUAAUGGAUUAUCUUAUAUUUAAUUUUAUUAAUAGUAUAUUUGAUUCUAAACUUAAUCUGUGAUUUUUUUCUUUACACUGAAGAAUUUUUUAAUAAAUUCUAAAUUUAUUUAAUUUUUCAACACGUAUUUAUUUAUUAUCUUUUUUCUAGUAUGCAUUAAUUUAACUUAAGAUUAUAGUUAUUAAUUUCUGCUAAUUAAUUUGGGAUUGAUUUAAUUUAUACAAUUAAUUAUACUCGACCAACAAUUCUUUCAUGAGGUAUAUGUAUUUCUUAUUGCGUUGUGUAAGAUUACUGAUGACAGUUUUUGUAUUUGUUGAUGACAUGUAAAGUUUGUUAUUUUUGUUUUUCAUUUAUUUGUGAUGUUGCCCUUUGGCUGUAGGUGUUUAGCAGUCUGUAUAUAUGUGCUAGUGGUAAAACCCAUUUGCUUAGUGUGAGAAAAAAUAUAUAACAAAAAUUUUUGUCUUCUUCUCCCAUAUUUUCUUCUCUGCUCUGUUCUGCUCUGUUAUGAUUUCAUCUUCUUCUUCUUCUCCCAUAUUUUGUUGGGUUCUGCUUUGUUUUGCAUUUCUUUUUAACACUUUGUUAUACUUUCCCUUCUGUUGACUCUUUCUCUGAAACAAUUGUCACUCCUGUAUUCCACAGGAAAAUGGUGUUCUAACUGUUAUACAUUUUUUUGUAUGUAGUUUUACUAGUUUUAGUUGAUUAUACUCUAGUUAAUGAGGUUUAUUGUUAUAAAUGAAGGCGAAGAAAGCUUUGGUGAUCAUGGGAUUUACAUCCCAUGCUUAUAUGGUAGAUCUCUGUUUCAGGUUGUUCAAUGAUUGAUUGAACAACUGGUUCCAAGAUGGAGGAAUAUUUAGAUGUUUUUAUAUUUAUUAGAAGUGUCUUGAAGGAUUUUUCUUUCAGAAUGUUGUUUAAGAUCUGAUUUACUAUGUUUUGUGAUAAUGGAAAUUUUUUGGUUCAGCAUAUAGCUGCUUGGAUUGUUGUUGAGCCCUGAGGCCCUGAACUUAAGGUCCUAGAGGUUUCUCAAGAACCCUUCAUCUUAGCCAUCUUCAGUUAUUGGUGAGGACAGUGUCAGAAUGCUCUGAAUGGUGGCUGAAGGCCUUGGGCAGUUGAAGAUGCCUGACUACACCCUUAGAGAGGGACAAUUAAACAUGCCUCUUAAAAUAAUUCCCUUGUGCUGUGGCAAUAAAGUAAGAAUUCACAGCACUUGUUACUUGUUUGUCGAUUUGGAAACUCGUAAGAUUUGGAAAAUAGUAAAAAGCUUCUCCAUUUUCCUGGUGAAAUUUGCUAAAUUUUAUGGUUCUACAGGUUUAAUUAGGGUGGGUCAUGAAACAAAAAAGCCAUGGUUGAAGAACAUGAGCUAAUCAAUUAGAUUGACAAAAACAGCUUAUGAUGUUCACCAGAGUAUCCAAAGACUGCGGAAUGGCAAGCUGGUGUCAACCAUAAUCAUUGGUUGCCCAUCAGUCUAGAAAACCAAAUUGCAAUAAUAUUGUUGACGUUACAAGGGUGAUCCGUUUCCGAUUUGAAUUAACAGGAUGGGAAGUGUUUCUCCUUUCCAUUAUGAUUGAUUGCAACGAUGCUUGUUCAUCUCUUGGGAAUGCAUUUUGGGAAGUACUAACUUGUGAGCAAAUAUUCGGCGAAAAGAACCAGAAUUUUUUCCACUUUGAGCAAAGAAAGGAGUAGGAAAGUUGUAGUGAGCUAUUUGUUGAUUCCUCGUUCAGUUUCUCAAAAUGAUGUAGAAGAUGGAUGAGUGAAAUUACUUCAAGAAACAACUUAAUUACGCAGGAAAUUUACUUGUAGACUUUGUAACUCGGAAUCGAAGGAUUC